GCCUCUCUCUCAGUCGGUUAGAGCACUGUGCUGAUAACGCCAAGGCUACAGGUUCGAUCCCCGUACGGGACA
Non-coding RNA from Podarcis lilfordi (Lilford's wall lizard), 72 nucleotides. The record is from the annotation of a GenBank genome assembly. NCBI's taxonomy places the organism in Eukaryota, Metazoa, Chordata, Lepidosauria, Squamata, Lacertidae.